GGGUGGCGAGUGGCGGACGGGUGAGUAAUGUCUGGGAAACUGCCCGAUGGAGGGGGAUAACUACUGGAAACGGUAGCUAAUACCGCAUAACGUCGCGAGACCAAAGUGGGGGACCUUCGGGCCUCACACCAUCGGAUGUGCCCAGAUGGGAUUAGCUAGUAGGUGGGGUAAUGGCUCACCUAGGCGACGAUCCCUAGCUGGUCUGAGAGGAUGACCAGCCACACUGGAACUGAGACACGGUCCAGACUCC
RNAcentral lists this ribosomal RNA (250 nucleotides) under uncultured Enterobacteriaceae bacterium. RNAcentral describes it as "partial 16S ribosomal RNA". It matches the Rfam family "Bacterial small subunit ribosomal RNA", at positions 86 to 339 of the family's 1533-position model. The record is from RNAcentral. Lineage: Bacteria; Pseudomonadati; Pseudomonadota; Gammaproteobacteria; Enterobacterales; Enterobacteriaceae.